UUCCGGUUGAUCCCGCCGGAGGUUACUGCUAUUGGUGUUCGACUAAGCCAUGCAAGUCAUAUGUUCCUCGUGAACAUGGCAUACUGCUCAGUAACACGUGGAUAACCUGCCCUUGGGUCUGGGAUAACCCCGGGAAACUGGGGAUAAUACCGGAUAACGCAUAUGUGCUGGAAUGCUUUAUGCGUAAAAUGGAUUCGUCCGCCCAAGGAUGGGUCUGCGGCCUAUCAGGUAGUAGUGGGUGUAAUGUACCUACUAGCCAACAACGGGUACGGGUUGUGGGAGCAAGAGCCCGGAGUUGGAUUCUGAGACACGAAUCCAGGCCCUACGGGGCGCAGCAGGCGCGAAAACUUUACAAUGCGGGCAACCGUGAUAAGGGAACCUCGAGUGCCUGUAAAUGCAGGCUGUUCAGGUGCCUAAAACACACCUGAAGAAAGGGCCGGGCAAGACCGGUGCCAGCCGCCGCGGUAAUACCGGCGGCUCGAGUGGUGGCCGCUUUUAUUGGGCUUAAAGCGUUCGUAGCUGGGUUGUUAAGUCUCUUGGGAAAUCUGGCGGCUUAACCGUCAGGCGUCUAAGGGAUACUGGCAAUCUUGGAACCGGGAGAGGUAAGAGGUACUACAGGGGUAGGAGUGAAAUCUUGUAAUCCCUGUGAGACCACCUGUGGCGAAGGCGUCUUACCAGAACGGGUUCGACGGUGAGGGACGAAAGCUGGGGGCACGAACCGGAUUAGAUACCCGGGUAGUCCCAGCCGUAAACUAUGCUCGCUAGGUGUCAGGCAUGGCGCGACCGUGUCUGGUGCCGCAGGGAAACCGUGAAACGUGCCGCCUGGGAAGUACGGUCGCAAGGCUGAAACUUAAAGGAAUUGGCGGGGGAGCACCACAACAGGUGGAGCCUGCGGUUUAAUUGGACUCAACGCCGGGAAGCUCACCGGAUAAGACAGCAGAAUGAUUGCCGGGCUGAAGACUCUGCAUGACUAGCUGAGAGGAGGUGCAUGGCC
This 994-nucleotide ribosomal RNA is filed under the name uncultured archaeon. RNAcentral's name for it is "bacterial SSU rRNA". It matches the Rfam family "Archaeal small subunit ribosomal RNA", at positions 1 to 999 of the family's 1478-position model. The record is from RNAcentral.